Molecule: transfer RNA, 92 nt
Filed under: bacterium
Lineage: Bacteria
Description: tRNA-Ser
Rfam family: tRNA
About the family: Transfer RNA (tRNA) molecules are approximately 80 nucleotides in length.
Source: RNAcentral
GGAGAGAUGGCAGAGUGGUUGAAUGCGGCGGUCUUGAAAACCGUUAUUUCCAGCGAUGGAAAUCGGGGGUUCGAAUCCCCCUCUCUCCUCCA